UGGACCAGUGAUGAGAUUGGAGGGUGUCUGAAUCAAACAUUUUGGUUAAAGUGAUAUCUAACUCUGAGGUCCAU
Molecule: small nucleolar RNA, 74 nt
Organism: Bison bison bison
Lineage: Eukaryota; Metazoa; Chordata; Mammalia; Artiodactyla; Bovidae
Source: Ensembl